CCAAUAGCGUAUAUUAAAGUUGUUGCAGUUAAAAAGCUCGUAGUUGAAUUUCGGGAUCAAUAUAUCGGUCGUGCCAUUGGUACGUACUGGUAUCAUUGGUUUCUCCUUUCUGACGAACCAUGAUGUCAUUAGUUUGGUGUUAUGGGAAGUUAGGACUGUUACUUUGAAAAAAUUAGAGUGUUUAAAGCAGGCUUUAGCUUGAAUACAUUAGCAUGGAAUAAUGAAAUAGGACGUUCGAACCUAUUUUGUUGGUUUCUAGGAUCAACGUAAUGAUUAAUAGGGAUAGUUGGGGGCAUUAGUAUUCAAUUGUCAGAGGUGAAAUUCUUGGAUUUAUUGAAGACUAACUACUGCGAAAGCAUUUGCCAAGGAUGUUUUCAUUAAUCAAGAACGAAAGUUAGGGGAUCGAAGACGAUCAGAUACCGUCGUAGUCUUAACCAUAAACUAUGCCGACUAGGGAUCGGAUGAUGUUAAUUUUUUAAUGACUCAUUCGGCGCCUUACG
RNAcentral lists this ribosomal RNA (500 nucleotides) under uncultured Glomeromycotina. Its description in RNAcentral is "partial small subunit ribosomal RNA". It matches the Rfam family "Eukaryotic small subunit ribosomal RNA", at positions 591 to 1092 of the family's 1831-position model. Lineage: Eukaryota; Fungi; Glomeromycota. The record is from RNAcentral.